Molecule: ribosomal RNA, 520 nt
Filed under: uncultured Glomus
Lineage: Eukaryota; Fungi; Glomeromycota; Glomeromycetes; Glomerales; Glomeraceae
Description: SSU rRNA
Rfam family: Eukaryotic small subunit ribosomal RNA
Source: RNAcentral
AGCAGCCGCGGUAAUUCCAGCUCCAAUAGCGUAUAUUAAAGUUGCUGCAGUUAAAAAGCUCGUAGUUGAAUUUCGGGACUAAUAUGUCGGUCGUGCCUCGGUACGUACUGGUAUUUUUGGUUUCUCCCUUCUGACGAACCUUGAUGUCAUUAAUUUGGUGUCUUGGGAAAUCAGGACUGUUACUUUGAAAAAAUUAGAGUGUUUAAAGCAGGCUCACGCUUGAACACAUCAGCAUGGAAUAAUGAAAUAGGACGUUUGAUUCUAUUUUGUUGGUUUCUAGGAUCGACGUAAUGAUUAAUAGGGAUAGUUGGGGGCAUUAGUAUUCAAUUGUCAGAGGUGAAAUUCUUGGAUUUAUUGAAGACUAACUACUGCGAAAGCAUUUGCCAAGGAUGUUUUCAUUAAUCAAGAACGAAAGUUAGGGGAUCGAAGACGAUCAGAUACCGUCGUAGUCUUAACCAUAAACUAUGCCGACUAGGGAUCGGAUGAUGUUAAUUUUUUAAUGACUCAUUCGGCGCCUUAC